This 253-nucleotide ribosomal RNA is filed under the name uncultured bacterium. RNAcentral describes it as "partial 16S ribosomal RNA". It matches the Rfam family "Bacterial small subunit ribosomal RNA", at positions 524 to 776 of the family's 1533-position model. The record is from RNAcentral.
UACGUAGGGUGCAAGCGUUAUCCGGAAUUAUUGGGCGUAAAGAGCUCGUAGGCGGUUUGUCGCGUCUGCUGUGAAAACUGGAGGCUCAACCUCCAGCCUGCAGUGGGUACGGGCAAACUAGAGUGCGGUAGGGGAGAUUGGAAUUCCUGGUGUAGCGGUGAAAUGCGCAGAUAUCAGGAGGAACACCGGUGGCGAAGGCGGGUCUCUGGACAGUUCCUGACGCUGAGGCACGAAGGCCAGGGGAGCAAACGGG